CACGAACCGGCGCUAAAAAAAGGUGUCCACGAACCAGUACCAGCUGAAAAAAAAAAAACUCAGCCCUUCCCCUCUCCAAGCGCGCAUUCCCUCGAUCUGCUCGCCUCCGGUAAAGCGGCCGCCGUUCACCCUCUCUAUCAACGUGCCCUGCUUGAGUUGCUUCCGGCGGUCCGACUCCAUCGCCAGCAGGCCCCAUCUAGGGUUCGCCGUCUGGUAGGUUCCCUCCACCGGCCGGCCGCCAGGCCCUCCGUCUCUCCGGCAGACGGCACCAAGAAGGCAAGAGCCGCCACCGCACGCACGCAGCCUGUGUAUGUGAAAGACUUUUUUUUUUUGCCCUCUGAUCCGUGAUGGUCCUGGGCAUCAGAGUUCAAAUUAAUACUUAAAUCAAGGUGGAUUCUGUAGCACAGGAGGCUGCAGAGGCGAGCAGGUGCUUCUUGCUGAACGAGCCGAGUGGAUGUGCUCUUUCCUAAGGCCAUAAUCUGUUCAGGUAGCUGCUCUUUCUAAAGGGACCACAUCUCAUCUGAUUCAAAGAGAUAAGCGCAUGUGGUAGACACCGCAGCAAGUUGAAGAACCAACACUAGCAAGUAGCAACAUGUGAAGAAGAAACAGUAUAUGGCACUCUGAACACUUAACUGUUCAAGGCAUCAUUACAUCCACUCCGAACCGCUGACCUUUCUCGAAUGUCUUAUUUCUCCAUGAAGUUAUGGGGAUAAUACCAUUUCAUUCAUGUACCGACGACGACCUUAUUUGUUAGUAUGCCCAUAGCUGUUUCCUUUUCUUUUUGAAAAACAAGGUAUAUACAGAGCAGAGCAAGAUUAUUUCAUGCAGUUAGCCAUUGGUCUGUCUGAAUGGUGAGCUAUUUCAGAAACAAUGAACAAUGGUAGAGCACACCGUGUCAAACUCUUAGUAUCA
Aegilops tauschii subsp. strangulata is the source of this 912-nucleotide long non-coding RNA. RefSeq lists it as uncharacterized. NCBI's taxonomy places the organism in Eukaryota, Viridiplantae, Streptophyta, Magnoliopsida, Poales, Poaceae. The record is from RefSeq and is a predicted model, not a curated record.